GACGAACGCUGGCGGCGUGCUUAACACAUGCAAGUCGAGCGGUAAGGCCCUUUCGGGGGUACGACGAGCGGCGAACGGGUGAGUAACACGUGGGUGACCUGCCCUCAGCUCUGGGAUAAGCCUGGGAAACCGGGUACUAAUACUGGAUAUGACUCCAUGACGCAUGUUGUGGGGUGGAAAGCCUUGUGCGGCUGAGGAUGGGCCCGCGGCCUAUCAGCUUGUUGGUGGGGUGAGGCCUACCAAGGCGACGACGGGUAGCCGGCCUGAGAGGGCGACCGGCCACACUGGGACUGAGACACGGGCCCAGACUCCUACGGGAGGCAGCAGUGGGGAAGUCUUGCGCAAUGGGCGAAAGCCUGACGCAGCGACGCCGCGUGAGGGAU
Molecule: ribosomal RNA, 383 nt
Filed under: uncultured bacterium
Lineage: Bacteria
Description: bacterial SSU rRNA
Rfam family: Bacterial small subunit ribosomal RNA
Source: RNAcentral